AACGCUGGCGGCGCGCCUAAUACAUGCAAGUCGAACGGAAACCCCUUAAAAGGUUUUAGUGGCGAACGGGUGAGUAACACGUAAGUAACCUGCCUUUAAGACGAGGAUAACAAUUGGAAACGGUUGCUAAGACUGGAUAGGAAACAAAAAGGCAUCUUUUUGUUUUUAAAAGACCUUCUUAUGAAGGUAUGCUUAAAGAGGGGCUUGCGCCACAUUAGUUAGUUGGUAGGGUAAAAGCCUACCAAGACGAUGAUGUGUAGCUGGACUGAGAGGUUGAACAGCCACAUUGGGACUGAAGACAGGCCCAAACUCCUACGGGAGGCAGCAGUAGGGAAUUUUCGGCAAUGGAGGAAACUCUGACCGAGCAACGCCGCGUGAACGAUGAAGUAUUUCGGUAUGUAAAGUUCUUUUAUUGAAGAAGAAAAAGUAGUGGAAAAACUAUAUUGACGUUAUUCAAUGAAUAAGCCCCGGCUAACUAUGUGCCAGCAGCCGCGGUAAGACAUAGGGGGCGAGCGUUAUCCGGAAUUAUUGGGCGUAAAGGGUGCGUAGGCUGUUAGAUAAGUCUAUAAUUUAAUUUCAGUGCUUAACGCUGUCUUGUUAUAGAAACUGUCUUGACUAGAGUGAGAUAGAGGCAAGCGGAAUUCCAUGUGUAGCGGUAAAAUGUGUAAAUAUAUGGAGGAACACCAGAAGCGUAGGCGGCUUGCUGGGUCUUUACUGACGCUGAGGCACGAAAGCGUGGGUAGCAAACAGGAUUAGAUACCCUGGUAGUCCACGCCGUAAACGAUGAGUACUAAGUGUCGGGGUAAAACUCGGUACUGAAGUUAACACAUUAAGUACUCCGCCUGAGUAGUACGUACGCAAGUAUGAAACUUAAAGGAAUUGACGGGACUCCGCACAAGCGGUGGAUCAUGUUGUUUAAUUCGAAGAUACACGAAAAAUCUUACCAGGUCUUGACAUACUCUGCAAAGCUAUAGAAAUAUAGUGGAGGUUAUCAGGGAUACAGGUGGUGCAUGGUUGUCGUCAGUUCGUGUCGUGAGAUGUUAGGUUAAGUCCUAAAACGAGCGCAACCCUUGUCGUUAAUUGCCAGCACGUAAUGGUGGGGACUUUAGCGAGACUGCCAAUUAAACAUUGGAGGAAGGUGAGGAUUACGUCAAAUCAUCAUGCCCCUUAUGAUCUGGGCUACAAACGUGAUACAAUGGCUGUGACAAAGAGUAGCUGAAACGCGAGUUUUUAGCCAAUCUCAAAAAAGCAGUCUCAGUUCGGAUUGAAGUCUGUAACUCGACUUCAUGAAGUUGGAAUCGCUAGUAAUCGCGAAUCAGCAUGUCGCGGUGAAUACGUUCUCGGGGUUUGUACACACCGCCCGUCAAACCACGAAAGUUAGCAAUACCCGAAAACAGUAGCUUAACU
This 1407-nucleotide ribosomal RNA is filed under the name 'Phoenix dactylifera' yellowing phytoplasma. RNAcentral's name for it is "bacterial SSU rRNA". It matches the Rfam family "Bacterial small subunit ribosomal RNA". Lineage: Bacteria; Bacillati; Mycoplasmatota; Mollicutes; Acholeplasmatales; Acholeplasmataceae. The record is from RNAcentral.